Prunus persica (peach) is the source of this 3419-nucleotide RNA transcript. It is a transcript of the gene named putative disease resistance protein RGA3, with no coding region annotated. NCBI's taxonomy places the organism in Eukaryota, Viridiplantae, Streptophyta, Magnoliopsida, Rosales, Rosaceae. The record is from RefSeq and is a predicted model, not a curated record. The transcript is spliced from 3 exons.
GCAUUAAAAGAUUCCUUCCUUUUCCUUUCUAUUGCUUCCACUAGAAAUCCCUUUCUAGAGCAAACAAAUGGCUGAAGCACUCAUUUCCGUGCUCCUAGAACAGUUGGCCUCAAUCAUCCAAAAACAGGUAGAACAAGAGGUCACACUCAUUGUGGGUGUUGAGAAAGAAGUGGCAAAACUCUCCCACAAUUUCAAAGCUAUUCAAGUUGUGCUCGAGGAUGCAGAGGAGAGGCAAGUGAAGGAGCUGAACGUGAAAUACUGGCUGGAGAGGUUGAAGGAUGUAUCCUACGAGAUGGACGACGUGUUGGACGAGUGGAGUACUGAAAUCCUGAAACAACAAAUUCAGAAACAAGAAGCUGGUAAUGCUGGUAGUACAAGUACUACCAAGAAGGUAUGUUUCUGCAUUCCUGCCCCUUGGUUUUGUUUUGGCCGUCAAGUAGUUCUUCGUCAUGACAUUGCUGUAAAGAUAAAAGAACUAAAUGAAAGAUUAGCUCUGAUUGCUAGUGAAAGGCAAAACUAUAACUUUCAAUACAUGAAAAGAGGAAUUGAACAAAUUGAACGACAAAAAAGUUCUUCUUUCGUUGAUAAGACAUUUGGUCGAGUCGACGAAAAGGAUGUAUUAGUAAAAAAGUUGCUGCGUGAGAGUGGUCAAGGAGGGGCAACCUGCCUUGUCAUCCCUAUUAUAGGGAUGGGAGGAAUUGGCAAGACAACUCUUGCCCAACUUGUCUAUAACGAUGAAAAGGUUCAAGCCCAUUUCGACAAUAGAAUAUGGGUUUGUGUGUCAGAUCCUUUUGAUGAGAUCAAAAUUGCCAAAGCCAUCAUUGAUGGUCUGAAAAAAGAGAAUUCCCCAGCUUCAAAUGAGUUGCAAAUUCUCUUGCAAUUUAUACAUGAGUCUGUUAAGGGCAUGAAGUUCCUUCUUGUCCUAGAUGAUGUGUGGAACCAAGACUAUUUAAAGUGGGAACAAUUAAAGUUACUUUUACAAAAUGGGGCUGUGGGUAGUAGAAUAUUGGUGACCACACGAAAAGAGGAAGUUGCGAGGAUGGUGGUGGGAGCAUCCACUGAUAUUGUCAAUUUGGAGAUGUUGAGUGAAGAAAAUUGUUGGGCAUUGUUCUAUCAUAUUGCACUGGCUGAUAGAAAAAAAAAUGAGUCUAAAGGGUUAGAAUUUAUUGGUAAAGAAAUUGUCAAAAAGUGUAAGGGUCUGCCGCUUGCUGCAAAGGCAUUGGGUGGUCUCAUGAGCUGCAAGAAAACGAGGAAAGAAUGGGAAGACAUUUUGAAUAGUAAGAUAUGGGAGGUAGACGGGGUUGAGGAACAAGUUUUCCAACCACUGUUACUAAGUUAUUAUGAUUUGGCCCCGGCAAUCAAACGUUGUCUUUUGUAUUGUGUUAUUUUCCCAAAAGAUUAUAACAUUGUCAAAGAUGAGUUGAUUGAGUUGUGGAUGUCACAAAAUUAUCUUAAUUCAGUUGGAAACAAAGAAAAAGAAGCGGUAGGCGAAAUGUACUUUGAUAACUUAGUAAUGCGCUCUUUCUUUCAAGAAUUUGAGAAAGAUGAUCUUGGAAAUAUAACGGGGUGCAAGAUGCAUGAUGUUUUGCAUGACUUUCUACAAUUUCUAACUAAGAAUGAAUGCUUAGUUUUGGAGGCUGAGAGUGGUAACAAUAAGAGAAUAAUGGAGUUUGAUGGCUAUAAGAAGGUUCGUCAUUUGACAUUAAUGUUUGCACCCGAAGGCCCACUAAUUCCAAGUUCCUUGUGCAACUGCAAGAAUUUACAGACUCUUGCAACUUUUGAUUCAAAGAUUACUAGUUUUGGUCAAGAGUUAAUUUCACAAGUAAAAUGCCUUAGAACAUUGAAUUUGAGUCAUAACUUCUUGAAAGAAGUUCCAAAUGAGGUUGGAGAAUUGGCACAUUUGAGGUAUCUUGAUUUGUCUUAUAAUCAUGAUUUGAUGAAAUUGCCAGACACCAUGUGUAAUUUAAUCAAUUUGUAAACCUUGAGACUCUUUUGGUGCAUUAAUCUUGAAAGAUUACCUGAAGCCAUGGGAAAGCUGAUUAACUUGCAGCAUCUUCAUGUUUUGUGGUGUCGUAGUCUAAAAUUUCUCAAGGGGAUUGCAAGGUUAACAAGUCUACGAACGCUAGAUGAAGUACACAUCCAUGGCGAUGAUGACGUUGAUAACAACAAAGAAGCAUUAUUCGAGUUAAGUGAUUUGAGAAACAUGGACCAGCUUCGUGGGAGUUUUUAUAUUUUGUUUGGUACGAAUCUAAAGGACGUGAGGCAGGCUGUGAAAGCGCAUUUGGUGAACAAAAAUUGCCUUGUCAAUCUGGAAUUGAGUUUCUUCUUGGACACGUGGCAGCCCGAGCCCAUCCAGGAAGAAACAAUGAAUGCCUUACAACCACCUCCAAAUCUGGAAUCCUUAUCUAUCAACAUCUAUCGUGGCACCAGACUCCGGCCCCAUUGGAUGACGUCGUUAAACAAAUUGAGAAGCCUUACCCUUCAAUAUUGCAUGGUUGUUGAGUUUGUGCCUCCUUUGGGGAGAUUGGAGUCCCUUGAAGUACUGGUGAUAGUCAAGUGGGAUAGAUUGAAAAAGGUAGGAGUUGAGUUUUUGGGAAUAGAUGGAACAAUAGAAACGCAAACAUCCUUAUCACCACUUAUUUUAUUCCCAAGUUUGAAAAGACUUGAAUUCGAGUUUAUGUGCAUGUGGGAAGAGUGGGAAGGAAUGACAGGGUGGAGUGAAGAAGAGGAUUCUCAAAAGACAAUUACAAUAAUGCCCUGCCUUUCUUCCUUACGAAUUAUUGAUUGUCAUGUGCUUAAAACACUGCCCAACUUCUUACGAAAUACACCAUUGAAGGAGUUGGUCAUCGAAGGUGGCGUCAUGUUCGACUUUCUAGCACCAGUUGCACAAGGUUGCCGAAAAGGCAGAGGAGAGUGGCCCAAGAUUUCUCACAUCCCAAACAUCAAACUUGGUAAAGAAUUUGUACAAAAAGACGGAGUUUACCAAAUUGAUGAUGAUGAGAUGCCAAGUGUUGCUUCCACAUCUUCUUCUGGUAAAAAAAUUCUCUAAAAUUGUCUCAGGCUAUAAAUUCUCUAUGUGCCGACGACCCCCAUUUCCAAAUUCCAGCAGCUGAAGGUAUUUUCUGGCAUGCAAAGAGGGAAGUCUCAUUUGAAUUCACACUUUGAAGAUAAUCUUGUCAGAAGCGCGUACGUUGUAUGGUAGGGAAAAUAAUUAUAACAUCCGAUAUGUAUGUAUAACCAAUAAUUCAAUCUUCAACUCUGUUGAGAUGUUGUUAUAUGUCACUCUGAUAUGAAAAUAUCAGAUAAUAUGUACAGUAUACCCAAUAAUUCAAUCUUCAACUCUGUUGAAAUGUUGUUAUAUAUCACUCUGAUAUGAAAAUAUCAGAUAAUAUGUACAGUAUACCCAAUAAUUCAAUAAU